AAUAGAUACCCGGGUAGUCCACGCCGUAAACGAUGAGUGCUAAGUGUUGGGGGGUUUCCGCCCCUCAGUGCUGCAGCUAACGCAUUAAGCACUCCGCCUGGGGAGUACGGUCGCAAGACUGAAACUCAAAGGAAUUGACGGGGGCCCGCACAAGCGGUGGAGCAUGUGGUUUAAUUCGAAGCAACGCGAAGAACCUUACCAGGUCUUGACAUCCCGGUGACCACUAUGGAGACAUAGUUUCCCCUUCGGGGGCAACGGUGACAGGUGGUGCAUGGUUGUCGUCAGCUCGUGUCGUGAGAUGUUGGGUUAAGUCCCGCAACGAGCGCAACCCUUAUUCUUAGUUGCCAUCAUUCAGUUGGGCACUCUAAGGAGACUGCCGGUGAUAAACCGGAGGAAGGUGGGGAUGACGUCAAAUCAUCAUGCCCCUUAUGACCUGGGCUACACACGUGCUACAAUGGACGGUACAAACGGUUGCCAACCCGCGAGGGGGAGCUAAUCCGAUAAAACCGUCUCAGUUCGGAUUGUAGGCUGCAACUCGCCUACAUGAACG
This 550-nucleotide ribosomal RNA is filed under the name uncultured bacterium. Its description in RNAcentral is "bacterial SSU rRNA". It matches the Rfam family "Bacterial small subunit ribosomal RNA", at positions 777 to 1325 of the family's 1533-position model. The record is from RNAcentral.